Molecule: ribosomal RNA, 207 nt
Filed under: uncultured bacterium
Lineage: Bacteria
Description: partial 16S ribosomal RNA
Rfam family: Bacterial small subunit ribosomal RNA
Source: RNAcentral
CGUGUAGGUGGAUUUUCAAGUCGAAUGUGAAAACCGGCGGCUUAACUGCCGGCCUGCAUUUGAUACUGUUAAUCUUGAGUACGGAAGAGGGAAGUGGAAUUCCAGGUGUAGCGGUGACAUGCGUAGAUAUCUGGAAGAACACCGGUGGCGAAGGCGGCUUCCUGGUCCGAUACUGACACUAAGGCGCGAAAGCUAGGGGAGCAAACA